Molecule: long non-coding RNA, 393 nt
Filed under: Helianthus annuus (common sunflower)
Lineage: Eukaryota; Viridiplantae; Streptophyta; Magnoliopsida; Asterales; Asteraceae
Description: sRNA HanXRQr2_Chr02g0051351
Source: RNAcentral
GUGUAGAUCACAGGAGCCAAAAGAGCUCUAAAAAACCCAAACCCUAGCUUACAAAAUUGAUCAAAUCAAGAAGGCAAAUCAGUUCCAAAACGAAAUUCGAGCUUAGAUUGGUGAUCUCCACUGUAAGGGGAUCAUAAGUGUAAUCUGAUUUUUAUGAAGCAAGGAAACCGGGACGUCAAGCGGACAAGCCGGUGGUGAUACGCGCUUGAAGGAAGUGCUUUGAAGGUGAUGCUCGUUUGUUGUGGAUGUUGAUCAAGCAAGGGAAUCAAGAACCGAACACAAGUUUUGAAUGCUUCCGCGCUAGUCUAAUCUAGUUUAAAACAUGUUGUUUUGUAAACUCUUUUGAAUGUUGAACAUUUUAAUCUAGUUAGUCGACUAUGUCGAAAUACUAUA